UCCGGAUUAGAUACCCUGGUAGUCCACGCUGUACACGAUGGAUGCUAGAUGUUGUGGGUAUUGACCCCUGCAGCGUCGCAGCUAACGCAUUAAGCACCCCGCCUGGGGAGUACGGCCGCAAGGCUAAAACUCAAAGGAAUUGACGGGGGCCCGCACAAGCGGCGGAGCAUGUGGCUUAAUUCGAAGCGACGCGAAGAACCUUACCUGGGCUUGACAUGCGGGGUGAAACCGUAGAGAUACGGCGCUCCUCGGAGCCCGCACAGGUGGUGCAUGGCUGUCGUCAGCUUGUGCCGUGAGGUGUUGCCUUAAGUGGCGCAACGAGCGCAACCCCUGUUCUUAGUUGCCAGCGCGUAAUGGCGGGGACUCUAGGAAGACUGCCGGUGCCAAACCGGAGGAAGGU
This 400-nucleotide unclassified non-coding RNA is filed under the name uncultured Actinomycetes bacterium. RNAcentral's name for it is "uncultured actinobacterium contains 16S-23S intergenic spacer region". It matches the Rfam family "Bacterial small subunit ribosomal RNA", at positions 772 to 1174 of the family's 1533-position model. The record is from RNAcentral. Lineage: Bacteria; Bacillati; Actinomycetota; Actinomycetes.